UUCUGAUCUUAGGGACUAAAGCUCGGGGCUUGUUUGUUCCUGUUUAUGCAUAAUUACUGGCUCUGCAUCUCUCACUCUCUCACUCCCUCUAUUUUCGUCCGAAAAACAGAGCAUCGGCUCUCAAUCCUCUCUCUCGCUCCACCGGCCACCAGGCAGUACCAAAUCACCUCCCAUACCUUCAAGUCGAUCGUGCGCAGCUGCAGAAGGCAGCCUUGCGCUGCAGAACCACUGGAGACGACGGCGGAGGCCGAUGUGUUUCAAAAACCCGUUUUAGUUCCAAGCUUGAUAACUCGUGCUUCCGGAAACCAAUACGUACCAAACUUCAUCCACGAGCUUGCCUCAACCUCCUGAAGCUCCCAGAAGCAACCUUGCAAGGAGGCACAGCCCGUAGCGGCAGCGGCAAGGCAACCCCACGGACCCGGAAAGUUUCGAUCCAAAUAUCUCGAGCUACAGGACGUCGUUUUACAUGUUUCUUGGACUGGUGAACUCAGAGUGAGGAGAUGAACAACUUUCUACAAGGGAUCGAGGCCUGAGGUUGGAGUUUUUACGUUGAAAACUCAAGCCUGCCGGAUUCUGGAAUUUUUCCGGCAACCGAAACCUUCGAUCAGAAGGAAUUGAGGCCUGAAAGUGAAGUUUUUACUUCAAAAUCAAGCUCGCCGGAUUCUGCAUUUUACGCCGGAUUCUGGAAAAUUUCCGGCCACCCGGACUGUUUUAGGUGAUUGACGGUUUUUACUUGGACGAGCGAGUUUGGUGUGAUUGUGUUAAUUUGAAGACGCAGCGGGAGUAUCGAGCGGGAAAUCUUACAGGUCAGGAGAAUCGAGAAGGUGAUCAGGCUGCCUAGAGUAGUGGUAUUUGAGUUACAGCAUUAUUGUGAGUUUCGUUAUGUUCAUUUUGAACUUAACAAUUUGGAAAUUGUGAUAAUGUGCUGUAAUAAGAAAUUGAGGAAUUGGAUAUUGUAAUUUUGAGUGGUGCGAGGCGUGUUGCUCUGAAAGAAAAUUUUUGAUUGAUAUUUGUAUUUGUAAUUAUUCAUGUUUCGGAUUUGAAUUUCUUAUUCA
Long non-coding RNA from Rosa chinensis, 1055 nucleotides. RefSeq lists it as uncharacterized. The transcript is spliced from 4 exons. The record is from RefSeq and is a predicted model, not a curated record. NCBI's taxonomy places the organism in Eukaryota, Viridiplantae, Streptophyta, Magnoliopsida, Rosales, Rosaceae.